Chelmon rostratus (copperband butterflyfish) is the source of this 677-nucleotide non-coding RNA. The record is from the annotation of a RefSeq genome assembly. NCBI's taxonomy places the organism in Eukaryota, Metazoa, Chordata, Actinopteri, Chaetodontiformes, Chaetodontidae.
GACAGCAAACCCACAGUCUCUGUACAAAAACACAAGCUGACACACUGACGAGCUGCUGGAAGCCUUUUUUCCACACUGUUCCACUCAACUUUUUACCUCCACUAGAGGGCCACAUUAUCAAGCAGGCGCUGCACUACUUCUGCACUGUGUUCAACCAUCUGUCAAUAAUAACUGCUGCUGUGAAGAGAACCAUUCUCACUCUGAAUGCUGAACAUCAGCUACUUUCUCCUCUUCAUUUCAGCCUCGUUGUACACAUGGAACAUUGGCUGUGGAUUAUUCUUGCUGCUCUUUGCUUUGAGUGUAAAGGAGAAGACAGAGUGAUCCAGCCAACAGCAGAUGUCAUUGCUACUGAAGGAGGCACAGUUACACUGGACUGUACAUUUGAGACCAGUUCUACAACUCCCUAUCUGUUCUGGUACAAACAGGAUGGAAACAACAGCCCCAAAUUCAUACUGAGUCGCGUUAAACGGGAUCAAGGGAACACAGCAGACGAGUCCAAGGAGAGAUUUUCUUCCACACUGAAUUCCACCUUAAAAUCAGUUCCUCUGAAGAUCCAGAAGCUUCAGCUGUCUGACUCUGCUGUGUACUACUGUGCUCUGCAGCCCACAGUGACAGGAAACAGCAAAACUCUGCACAAAAACCUCUGCAGCAAACACAACACAAUACUCCACAACGUC